GUAUCUCUCGUGCAGAGAGAACUUGCUGGCAUUUCGGAUCUGGACUGCCCGUAUGGGUGGGACCAGUCUGAUAUGCUUCAGAUAUGUUCUCUCUGUAAUGGCACAAGAUGAGCAAAAAUCAGCUUGAGAACUGAGCGGGGACCGACCGAAGGGCAGGCUAUUUCAGCUGCUGCCCGUCCUCAGUAUUCUCUUGUGACCCAUUUUUUGACUCUCCACAAGUUUAAAGGGAUAAUCCAGACGUGGACCCCUUGCUCACGGUGCCUAGGGAGAUAUCAGCUAUGCCUCACUGAUGAUGCCUAACAAGGCUGAAAGGAUCGUCUGGGGUUGCUGUAUCUCUCGUGCAGAGAGAACUUGCUGGCAUUUCGGAUCUGGACUGCCCGUAUGGGUGGGACCAGUCUGAUAUGCUUCAGAUAUGUUCUCUCUGUAAUGGCACAAGAUGAG
Molecule: non-coding RNA, 441 nt
Organism: Pelobates cultripes (western spadefoot toad)
Lineage: Eukaryota; Metazoa; Chordata; Amphibia; Anura; Pelobatidae
Source: the annotation of a GenBank genome assembly